AUUAGAUACCCUGGUAGUCCACGCUGUAAACGAUGGAUACUAGGUGUGGGGGGACUGACCCCCUCCGUGCCGCAGCUAACGCAAUAAGUAUCCCACCUGGGGAGUACGAUCGCAAGGUUGAAACUCAAAGGAAUUGACGGGGGCCCGCACAAGCGGUGGAGUAUGUGGUUUAAUUCGAAGCAACGCGAAGAACCUUACCAGGGCUUGACAUCCAACUAACGAGGCAGAGAUGCGUCAGGUGCCCUUCGGGGAAAGUUGAGACAGGUGGUGCAUGGUUGUCGUCAGCUCGUGUCGUGAGAUGUUGGGUUAAGUGCCAUAACGAGCGCAACCCCCAUCGACAGUUGCUAACAGGUCAAGCUGAGGACUCUGUCGAGACUGCCGGCGCAAGCUGCGAGGAAGGCGGGGAUGACGUCAAAUCAGCACGGCCCUUACGUCCGGGGCGACACACGUGUUACAAUGGCAGGUACAGCGGGAAGCCACCUGGCGACAGGGAGCGGAACCCGAAAGCCUGUCUCAGUUCGGAUUGGAGUCUGCAACCCGACUCCAUGAAGCUGGAUUCGCUAGUAAUCGCGCAUCAGCCACGGCGCGGUGAAUACGUUCCCGGGCCUUGUACACACCGCCCGUCAAGCCAUGGAAGCCGGGGGUGCCUGAAGUGCGCUGCCGCAAGAAGCGCCCUGGGGUAAAACCGGUGACUGGAGCUAAGUCGUAACAAGGUACC
RNAcentral lists this ribosomal RNA (718 nucleotides) under uncultured bacterium. RNAcentral describes it as "bacterial SSU rRNA". It matches the Rfam family "Bacterial small subunit ribosomal RNA", at positions 777 to 1500 of the family's 1533-position model. The record is from RNAcentral.